This 482-nucleotide ribosomal RNA is filed under the name uncultured bacterium. RNAcentral's name for it is "partial 16S ribosomal RNA". It matches the Rfam family "Bacterial small subunit ribosomal RNA", at positions 28 to 523 of the family's 1533-position model. The record is from RNAcentral.
GACGAACGCUGGCGGCGUGCUUAACACAUGCAAGUCGAACGAUGAAGCCUAACUUGCUAGGUCGAUUGGUGGCGAACGGGUGAGUAACACGUGACUAACCUGCCCCUUUCUCUGGGAUAACGCUCCGAAAGGAGUGCUAAUACCGGAUACUCACACCGAGGCACAUGCCUUGGUGUGGAAAGUUUUUCGGAAAGGGAUGGAGUCGCGGCCUAUCAGCUUGUUGGUGAGGUAACGGCUCACCAAGGCGACGACGGGUAGCCGGCCUGAGAGGGCGACCGGCCACACUGGGACUGAGACAAGGCCCAGACUCCUACGGGAGGCAGCAGUGGGGAAUAUUGCACAAUGGGCGCAAGCCUGAUGCAGCGACGCCGCGUGAGGGAUGAAGGUCUUCGGAUUGUAAACCUCUUUCAGUAGGGACGAAGCGAAAGUGACGGUACCUAAAGAAGAAGCACCGGCUAACUACGUGCCAGCAGCCGCAGUAA